RNAcentral lists this unclassified non-coding RNA (241 nucleotides) under Basidiomycota sp. RNAcentral describes it as "partial contains small subunit ribosomal RNA, internal transcribed spacer 1, and 5.8S ribosomal RNA". The stretch from base 1 to 47 matches the Rfam family "Eukaryotic small subunit ribosomal RNA", at positions 1785 to 1831 of the family's 1831-position model. Lineage: Eukaryota; Fungi; Basidiomycota. The record is from RNAcentral.
AAAGUCGUAACAAGGUUUCCGUAGGUGAACCUGCGGAAGGAUCAUUAUUGAUUUUAAGAAGAUGUGCUGGCUCUUGCAUGUGCACUCUUCAACAAAACCAAUAUCCACCUGUGCACACUCUGUAGGUGAAGGGUUGCAAAACUCUAAGCCUAUGUCUCUUUACAAACAACCAUUGAUGUAUCUGAAUGUCAUUGAAUAACCAAUUGUAAUACAACUUUCAACAAUGGAUCUCUUGGUUCUC